Non-coding RNA from Podarcis lilfordi (Lilford's wall lizard), 69 nucleotides. The record is from the annotation of a GenBank genome assembly. NCBI's taxonomy places the organism in Eukaryota, Metazoa, Chordata, Lepidosauria, Squamata, Lacertidae.
GCAGUAGCUCAGUGGCAGAGCAUCCACCUGGAAUGCAGAAGGCCUCAGGUUCAAUCCCCACCAUCUCCA